Molecule: ribosomal RNA, 454 nt
Filed under: uncultured Porphyromonadaceae bacterium
Lineage: Bacteria; Pseudomonadati; Bacteroidota; Bacteroidia; Bacteroidales; Porphyromonadaceae
Description: partial 16S ribosomal RNA
Rfam family: Bacterial small subunit ribosomal RNA
Source: RNAcentral
ACGGGAGGCAGCAGUGAGGAAUAUUGGUCAAUGGACGGAAGUCUGAACCAGCCAAGUCGCGUGAAGGAUGAAGGUAUUAUGUAUUGUAAACUUCUUUAGCAGUGGAGUAAUAAGGGGAUCGCGAUCCCUGAUGCAAGUACACUGAGGAUAAGGAUCGGCUAACUCCGUGCCAGCAGCCGCGGUAAUACGGAGGAUCCGAGCGUUAUCCGGAUUUAUUGGGUUUAAAGGGUGCGCAGGCGGCCCCUUAAGUCGGCGGUGAAAUUUCCGGGCUCAACCCGGUCACUGCCGUCGAAACUGGGGGGCUUGAGUGCGUUUGGGGUGGCUGGAAUGUGCGGUGUAGCGGUGAAAUGCAUAGACAUCGCACAGAACGCCGAUCGCGGAGGCAGGUCACCAAGCCGCAACUGACGCUGAGGCACGAAAGCGCGGGGAUCGAACAGGAUUAGAUACCCUGGUA